This is a non-coding RNA of Cyanistes caeruleus (blue tit), 829 nucleotides long. The record is from RefSeq and is a predicted model, not a curated record. Lineage: Eukaryota; Metazoa; Chordata; Aves; Passeriformes; Paridae.
CGCAGAACUGGAUGGCGGCGUAGGGGAUCACGCGGACCAUGGUGGCGGAAUUCCCUCUCCAGAGGCUCCAGAAGCCCUCGUUGAGAGCGUUUCCAUGCCCGGAUCCCAGCCUAAUUCCAGAAUCCGGUGAGGAGAGAGGGAAGCUCUGCACAAGAGCAAGCCAAGGACAAGGAAGGGUUUUUAUAUCCCAUCCUGCCUCAUUUUCCCUCUCUGGGAAGGCACAAUUUGCAUAAAACCCCUUCCCAAACCCAAAUUCAUCUCCUCGGGGCCAGGCAGGAACAUUCGGAUCACGCACACCAGGGCACGGCAAGCAUGGAAAAGCUGGAAUGCACGGGGAAAAAGAGCUCAGAAAGCCACGGGAGGGAUCAGAUCCCAGAUUUAAUUCCCUAUAAAUGCUGCAAAAACUCCUGUGUGCUUGGGGGAAGGAAAGGAGCACUAGAAAUGGUCCUAAAAUCAGAAGGAAUGGUCCCAAAAUCACAAGGAAUGGUCCCAAAAUCACUACAAAACAUCCCAAAUCACUAGAAGAGGUCCCCAAAUCACCAGGAAAGAUCCCAGAUCCACUAAAAAAGGUCCCAAAACCCAAAGCCCUGAGUGAUAUCACAUUUAUUGUCACAUCACAGGUACAGCCUGGAGUUUGAAUCCUCCCAGUAAUCACUAUCCUAAUUAAUCCCAUAAUUAACAACACCAUUCCCAGCCUUUCCCUCCACAUUUUCAUGGAAUGCUGCUGAUAAAUCCCAAAAAAAGUGAAAUAAAGGCCAACAAAAGAAAAAUCAAAGACUUCAGGGCAACAGCAGACAGACAUCACCUCACCUUGGCAGAAAAUCUUUUU